GUCCUACGGGGGGCAGCAGUGGGGAAUAUUGCACAAUGGGGGAAACCCUGAUGCAGCGACGCCGCGUGAGUGAAGAAGUAUUUCGGUAUGUAAAGCUCUAUCAGCAGGGAAGAUAAUGACGGUACCUGACUAAGAAGUCCCGGCUAACUACGUGCCAGCAGCCGCGGUAAUACGUAGGGGGCAAGCGUUAUCCGGAUUUACUGGGUGUAAAGGGUGCGUAGGUGGCAGGGCAAGUCAGAUGUGAAAUCCGGGGGCUCAACCCCUGAACUGCAUUUGAAACUGUCGUUCUUGAGUACUG
RNAcentral lists this ribosomal RNA (298 nucleotides) under uncultured bacterium. RNAcentral describes it as "partial 16S ribosomal RNA". It matches the Rfam family "Bacterial small subunit ribosomal RNA", at positions 335 to 651 of the family's 1533-position model. The record is from RNAcentral.